GUCCAUCCAUACAUAAGCUCAUACAUUCGCUCAGCCUGUUAGCCACUCGAUCAGAAUUAAACAAGCUUCUUCUGAACAGAGAGAUUCUUAAAGCACACGUUGUAAGGAAAUCAAUGCCAUCAUUGUCAGAAGAAAGAAUUUUCACAUCUGAUAAUGCUUGACCAACAAACAUUUGUGGCCUUAUUAAUGGUUGGCAUUGUAAUAACAGAAUAUAAAUUUCAUUCACGAUAUCUCGAUACUGUACAAGAGGGAAAUAAUAUAUGUCGUAUAUAAAAUUCUACUGUCAGUGAAUUUGAAAAUCACGAACCUCAACAAACACUAUAGCUCUUGUAUCGCUUUGUUUUUCCUGACUAUCUUUAAAAUGACACAAAAGUAGUUCUUUUAACUUAUCAAACUUGGUAUGGCCAAAUGUAAGAUUUUGUGAUAUCUGAAAUUAAUUUUUAAGUUAUACACAAAAAGAUUUCAAGUUUCUUGUACUUUAUGUAAGUUUAUACAAACUUCUAUUACAGCCUCUUCAGAUAAAAUGUUUAUAUCUGGGAAUGGACCAAGAUAAGUAUUAAUAUCUUCAAGUAACAUCUGCAAUUGUGGUUCUUCAUUCAUCCAAAAUUUAUCAGAAUGAUCUAUCAAAAUAAUGUACAGAUUAUUCAAAUAUAAAUUAUAUAAAUAAAGUGACAGAAAAAAGUGAAAAUUCCAUACUUUGAUAAAAUUUAUAAAAAGCCCUAAGGCCAUCUCUAAUCAUAAGUUCAUAAGCAUGGUACAUUGUUAUUAAUAUAUUUAAUGUCUUUAUAAUUUGUCCAUCAUUUCCCGAUUUAUUCGUUUUCUUUUGAUAUUCCUUUAAUAAAUGAAAUAUCUGAAACAG
Molecule: long non-coding RNA, 859 nt
Organism: Frieseomelitta varia
Lineage: Eukaryota; Metazoa; Arthropoda; Insecta; Hymenoptera; Apidae
Exons: 3
Source: RefSeq, a predicted model, not a curated record